GACGAACGCUGGCGGCGUGCCUAAUACAUGCAAGUAGAACGCUGAAGGAGGAGCUUGCUUCUCUGGAUGAGUUGCGAACGGGUGAGUAACGCGUAGGUAACCUGCCUGGUAGCGGGGGAUAACUAUUGGAAACGAUAGCUAAUACCGCAUAAUAGUAGAUGUUGCAUGACAUUUGCCUAAAAGGUGCAAUUGCAUCACUACCAGAUGGACCUGCGUUGUAUUAGCUAGUUGGUGGGGUAACGGCUCACCAAGGCGACGAUACAUAGCCGACCUGAGAGGGGGAUCGGCCCACCGGGGAAUGGACCCGGCCCCGACCCCCUGGGGGGGGCAGCAGUGGGGAUUCUUGGGCAAGGGCGGGAGGUCUGACCGAGCACCGCGGGGGGGGAGAAGAGGUUUUCCGGUUCGAAAAGUUCUGUUAAAGGAGAAGAACGGGUGUGAGGGGGAAAAUUCCACACGGGGACGUUUUCUAACAAAAAAGGGACGGCUAACUCCGGC
RNAcentral lists this ribosomal RNA (495 nucleotides) under uncultured bacterium. Its description in RNAcentral is "partial 16S ribosomal RNA". It matches the Rfam family "Bacterial small subunit ribosomal RNA", at positions 28 to 508 of the family's 1533-position model. The record is from RNAcentral.